AUUUUAUUGAUGCUAAAAGAAUGGAAGUUUAGAAAAAAUCUUUUUUAAAAAUAAAAAUUAAAAUUUUUUUAAUUUGUGCAAAAACAAUUAUUUAUAUUAAAGACAAGAAGACCCUAAGAAUUUUCUGGUUCAAUAAUUUAUAUAUUUAAUUUAUUAAACCUUGAUUGGGGCGAUCAAAAAAUAUUAAUAACUUUUUUUCAUUAAAAUGAUCUAUUAUUAAUAAAUUAAUGAAUUAAAUACUCUAGGGAUAACAGCGUAAUAAUUUUUGAUAGAUCUUAUAGACAAAAUAGUUUGCGACCUCGAUGAAGAA
Molecule: ribosomal RNA, 310 nt
Filed under: Hyalomma aegyptium
Lineage: Eukaryota; Metazoa; Arthropoda; Arachnida; Ixodida; Ixodidae
Description: partial large subunit ribosomal RNA
Source: RNAcentral